RNAcentral lists this ribosomal RNA (516 nucleotides) under uncultured bacterium. RNAcentral describes it as "bacterial SSU rRNA". It matches the Rfam family "Bacterial small subunit ribosomal RNA", at positions 24 to 518 of the family's 1533-position model. The record is from RNAcentral.
UCAGAACGAACGCUGGCGGCGUGCUUAACACAUGCAAGUCGAACGCGAAAGGGGACUUCGGUCCUGAGUAAAGUGGCGCACGGGUGAGUAACGCGUAGAUAACCUGUCUUCAUGUCUGGAAUAAUACGCCGAAAGGGGUACUAAUACCGGAUAUUCUUGCUUUUUCAUAAGUUACGCAAGCAAAGGUGGCCUCUGCAUAUGCUACUGCAUGAAGAGGGGUCUGCGUACCAUUAGCUAGUAGGUGGGGUAAUGGCCUACCUAGGCGACGAUGGUUAGCGGGUCUGAGAGGAUGAUCCGCCACACUGGCACUGGAACACGGGCCAGACUCCUACGGGAGGCAGCAGUGAGGAAUAUUGCGCAAUGGGGGAAACCCUGACGCAGCGACGCCGCGUGAGUGAGGAAGGCCUUCGGGUCGUAAAGCUCUGUCAAGAGGAAAGAAGUGUACAAUGGCUAAUACCUGUUGUAUUUGACGGUACCUCUAAAGGAAGCACCGGCUAACUCCGUGCCAGCCGCGGC